CCCUUAGAUGUUCUGGGCUGCACGCGUGCUACACUGAUAUUGCCAAUAUGUCAUUCUUAUCCGAAAUGGAUUGGGUAAUCAAGUAAUGAAAUUUCAUGCUUGGAAUCGGUAAUUGCAAUUUUAUCGUGAACGAGGAAUUCCUAGUAAGCACUAGUCAUCAGCUAAUGUUGAUUAUGUCCCUGCCCUUUGUGCACACCGCCCGUCGCUACUACUGAUUGGGUGUUCAAGUGAGAUGCUUAGACCCUUGUUGCAUGGUUCAUUAUUGUGCUCCGAAAGGAAAAAGUUUCAAGCUUGAGUGUCUAGAGGAAGUAAAAGUCGUAACA
This 323-nucleotide ribosomal RNA is filed under the name uncultured eukaryote. Its description in RNAcentral is "partial 18S ribosomal RNA". It matches the Rfam family "Eukaryotic small subunit ribosomal RNA", at positions 1470 to 1796 of the family's 1831-position model. The record is from RNAcentral.